AACGAACGCUGAUGGCGUGCUUUAUACAUGCAAGUCGAGCGAGGCGGGGCAACCUAGCCGAGCGGCGCACGGGUGAGUAACACGUGAAUAACUUUCCCUUCAGUUGGGGACAACCACUGUAACCGGUGGCUAAUACCGAAUAUUGUAUUUGAACUGCAUGGUUUGGGUACAAAAGGAGCAAUUCGCUGAAGGAUAGAUUCGCGUCUGAUUAGCUUGUUGGUGGGGUAACGGCCUACCAAGGCGAUGAUCAGUAGCCGGCCUGAGAGGGUGAUCGGCCACAUCGGGACUGAGAUACGGCCCGGACUCCUACGGGAGGCAGCAGUAGGGAAUUUUGCGCAAUGGACGAAAGUCUGACGCAGCAACGCCAUAUGUGGGAUGACGCUUUUCGGAGUGUAAACCACUGUCGUCAGGGAAUAAUGUGCAGGGUGACUUGCAUUGAAUGUACCUGGAGAGGAAGCCCCGGCUAACUUCGUG
RNAcentral lists this ribosomal RNA (474 nucleotides) under uncultured bacterium. Its description in RNAcentral is "bacterial SSU rRNA". It matches the Rfam family "Bacterial small subunit ribosomal RNA", at positions 29 to 507 of the family's 1533-position model. The record is from RNAcentral.